This 465-nucleotide ribosomal RNA is filed under the name uncultured bacterium. RNAcentral's name for it is "partial 16S ribosomal RNA". It matches the Rfam family "Bacterial small subunit ribosomal RNA", at positions 28 to 507 of the family's 1533-position model. The record is from RNAcentral.
GACGAACGCUGGCGGCGUGCUUAACACAUGCAAGUCGUACGGUAAGGCCCUGUCGGGGGUCCACGAGUGGCGAACGGGUGAGUAACACGUGAGUAACCUGCCCACAACUUUGGGAUAACGCUAGGAAACUGGUGCUAAUACUGGAUAUGUGCUCCUGCUGCAUGGUGGGGGUUGGAAAGCUCCGGCGGUUGUGGAUGGACUCGCGGCCUAUCAGCUUGUUGGUGGGGUAGUGGCCUACCAAGGCGGCGACGGGUAGCCGGCCUGAGAGGGUGACCGGCCACAGUGGGACUGAGAUACGGCCCAGACUCCUACGGGAGGCAGCAGUGGGGAAUAUUGCACAAUGGGCGCAAGCCUGAUGCAGCAACGCCGCGUGCGGGAUGACGGCCCUCGGGUUGUAAACCGCUUUCAGCAGGGACGAAGCUUUUUGUGGCGGUACCUGCAGAAGAAGCACCGGCUAACUACGUG